UUUAGUGCUAUUAACGCAGGGAGGCCUGUUGUUCCUCAGAUAACAAGGUGCCUAGACUGCAGUCAUUGUAUCACCCUUCUCUGUCCCCACCAAAUCCAAAUGGUCCCUGUAAAGGCCACAACCUUUUCCAGUGCAUGUGCUCCUGUCACUCCUCCUGACCACGCCCCUUAGGGGCGGGGCCUCCUGGCUGAGCUCCAAGUCUCCACCCUCCUGCUGGUUCAGGUGGUAUCUCCUCCUCUCACCCAGAGUGAAGGGAUGAUGUGGUAUCUGGUCAUUAACUUAUUCUCAAAUGAUUCAAAGACAAAAAGAUCUUUGUUUUCCAUUUUCAACUUUGUGUAAAUUUUCUAUCUUUUCAAAACAAAGAAACACUUUAAAACUGAAAGGUCUGAGUUUUAGGGACCCUAGAAGGGAAUUACCUU
This 419-nucleotide long non-coding RNA is filed under the name Capra hircus (goat). Its description in RNAcentral is "lncRNA (ENSCHIG00010022876.1)". The record is from RNAcentral. Lineage: Eukaryota; Metazoa; Chordata; Mammalia; Artiodactyla; Bovidae.